UACUAUUUGCCUCUUUCAUGGUGAGGGAUUAAGGGGGCCAUUGUAUUCUGUAAGCAAAAUAACUCAAAUUUCAGGGGUUCUCAUUUCGAGGGUGUAUGUUUGCACUAAUCACAACCACACAAUAAAUUAAUACCUUGCUAUGUUGAAGAGUUUCAAAAUAAAUAAAUAAAUAUCAAAUUCAAACUUCCUGAUUGUUAUCAUCCAAACUUGGGACUAAAUGAAUUGUGAAAAAUUGGACUUGCAAGGUUAACAAAAAAUGGUGGGUUUAAAUACAUUUGACAAAUCCUGCCACAGCAACAUUCCAUCAGUCUAAUUCUAUGAUACUUAGGAACAAGUCAAACACAAUCUUAAAGCCGGUGUAGCUACGAACGAACCUAAAAGUCCAGACAACAAAAGACUGCAUCAUUUUUAAACUUGUAGAUGCCAAAUUGCAAAAAAUCAUAAUCCUAGAUAUAUAACAACCGAAAUUAUCUGGAAUAUUUCGAAAACAAGUCCAUUUAAAUUCGAGCUUAAUCAAAUACCUAACCAGCUUUUUCAAAAAAAUUUAGUACUUUACAAUCCGAAAUCAGAAUGCAUUAUCAAAAAUAGAAUAAGCUUCUGUAUGUCACAGACGAAUAGAGGUAGGGAUGGCAACCAAACCCGGACCCAGAUCGGACCCAGACUGAACCCGGAAAAUCCGAUCCGGGUUCAACCCACAUUGAAACAAUUUUUAUGCGGAAUCCGGAUCGGUUUUUCAGAACCCGCAUACUUUCCGGGUCCGAAUCCGGUUUCAGGUGAACCCACAAAUCCGAAACCCAGAUCCAGAUAUUAUUUAUUUUAAUAUUAAUUUUUUUUAAAAUUAUUAAAUAUAAAUAGAAAAAUUAAAAAAAAAAACCCUAGCCCUCUCAAUCUCUCAUUCGUUCAUUCCUCUCUCACUCGUUCCUCUCUCGAUCUCUCACUCUCUUCAACUUCUCCUCUCAAUCUCUCAUCUGUUCAGCUGUUCCUCUCUCAAUCUCUCUCACCCGUUUCUCACUCAAUCUCUCUCACUCUCUCUUCAACUCUCUUGUAAUUUCUCUUCUUCAAAUCAGAUCCUUCGCGGUGUGGCUGUCAUCACCUUCACGGUGCGCCUGUGUUUGUUUCAUCAGUCAUCAGCAUCAGCAUCACUCGUCUCAUCUCUCACUCUGUCGCGGCAAGCAAAAGGGGGUGGAUUUUGUGGUUGUGUUCUGUGGCCUGUGGGGGUGGAUUUCACGGCAGUGUACUGUGGCCUGUGGGGGUGGAUUUUGUGGUUGUGUACUGUGGCCUGUGGGGGUGGAUUUCGCGGCUGUUGUAUUUGUUUUAGAACCUGGAUUUGAAGUUAUAUGUUUUGGAUUUGAAAUUUUGUUGAACUAAACUAAAGCAAUCUGGAUUCUGGAAGCAAUUUGGUUCUGGUUUGUGUAACUGUGUUCUUUUUUUUUUUUUGCCCUUUUUCCAGCAACUUAAGGAAAGCAAUCUGGGUUCAAAACCCGGAAUUUUCCAGGUUGAACCCGGACUGGACCCGGAUGAAAAAAAACUGGGUUCAAUGCGGGUCCGGUAACGAGAAUUUGGUGUCCGGGUCCAGGUCCGGAUCCGGAACGGCUAAACCCGGACCCGGACCCGGACCCGGAAAUUGCCAUCCCUAAAUAGAGGUGCCAAACAUAUUUCUUUAUUUCUAUUACUCUACAUAACUUCUCACAUUCAUGCAUGUGGAUAUGUUUCUCCACAUAAGACAUAGUCACAGAGAAUUAUGUUUAUCGCAUUCACUGAACAGACAUUGUAGCAAGUUUACAC
RNAcentral lists this long non-coding RNA (1785 nucleotides) under Citrus sinensis (sweet orange). RNAcentral's name for it is "long non-coding RNA (CSIN_LNC004574)". Lineage: Eukaryota; Viridiplantae; Streptophyta; Magnoliopsida; Sapindales; Rutaceae. The record is from RNAcentral.